Molecule: ribosomal RNA, 253 nt
Filed under: uncultured bacterium
Lineage: Bacteria
Description: partial 16S ribosomal RNA
Rfam family: Bacterial small subunit ribosomal RNA
Source: RNAcentral
UACGUAGGGUGCGAGCGUUGUCCGGAAUUAUUGGGCGUAAAGAGCUUGUAGGCGGUUUGUCGCGUCUGCUGUGAAAUCUCAAGGCUCAACCUUGAGCUUGCAGUGGGUACGGGCAGACUAGAGUGUGGUAGGGGAGACUGGAAUUCCUGGUGUAGCGGUGAAAUGCGCAGAUAUCAGGAGGAACACCGAUGGCGAAGGCAGGUCUCUGGACAGUUCCUGACACUGAGACACGAAGGCCAGGGGAGCAAACGGG